GCCGCGUGUGUGAAGAAGGCCUUCGGGUUGUAAAGCACUUUCAGUUGUGAGGAAAGGUUGAUGGUUAAUACCCAUUAGCUAUGACGUUAGCAACAGAAGAAGGACCGGCUAACUCCGUGCCAGCAGCCGCGGUAAUACGGAGGGUCCGAGCGUUAAUCGGAAUUACUGGGCGUAAAGCGCACGCAGGCGGUUUGUUAAGCUAGAUGUGAAAGCCCCGGGCUCAACCUGGGAAUAGCAUUUAGAACUGGCAGACUAGAGUCUUGGAGAGGGGAGUGGAAUUCCAGGUGUAGCGGUGAAAUGCGUAGAUAUCUGGAGGAACAUCAGUGGCGAAGGCGACUCCCUGGCCAAAGACUGACGCUCAUGUGCGAAAGUGUGGGUAGCGAACAGGAUUAGAUACCCUGGUAGUCCACACCGUAAACGCUGUCUACUAGCUGUUUGUGGAUUUA
This 446-nucleotide ribosomal RNA is filed under the name Arctic sea ice bacterium AWS-6M2. RNAcentral's name for it is "bacterial SSU rRNA". It matches the Rfam family "Bacterial small subunit ribosomal RNA", at positions 396 to 834 of the family's 1533-position model. Lineage: Bacteria; Pseudomonadati; Pseudomonadota; Gammaproteobacteria. The record is from RNAcentral.